This 253-nucleotide ribosomal RNA is filed under the name uncultured bacterium. RNAcentral's name for it is "partial 16S ribosomal RNA". It matches the Rfam family "Bacterial small subunit ribosomal RNA", at positions 524 to 776 of the family's 1533-position model. The record is from RNAcentral.
UACGAAGGGGGCUAGCGUUGCUCGGAAUGACUGGGCGUAAAGGGCGCGUAGGCGGCUCAUACAGUCAGAUGUGAAAUUCCUGGGCUUAACCUGGGGGCUGCAUUUGAUACGUGUGGGCUUGAGUGGGGAAGAGGGUCGUGGAAUUCCCAGUGUAGAGGUGAAAUUCGUAGAUAUCAGGAGGAAUACCGAUGGCGAAGGCAGGUCUCUGGGCUGACACUGACGCUCAUGCACGAAAGCGUGGGGAGCAAACAGG